Molecule: ribosomal RNA, 522 nt
Filed under: uncultured bacterium
Lineage: Bacteria
Description: partial 16S ribosomal RNA
Rfam family: Bacterial small subunit ribosomal RNA
Source: RNAcentral
UGGGGAAUAUUGCACAAUGGGCGCAAGCCUGAUGCAGCCAUGCCGCGUGUGUGAAGAAGGCCUUCGGGUUGUAAAGCACUUUCAGCGAGGAGGAAGGUGGUGAACUUAAUACGUUCAUCAAUUGACGUUACUCGCAGAAGAAGCACCGGCUAACUCCGUGCCAGCAGCCGCGGUAAUACGGAGGGUGCAAGCGUUAAUCGGAAUUACUGGGCGUAAAGCGCACGCAGGCGGUUUGUUAAGUCAGAUGUGAAAUCCCCGGGCUCAACCUGGGAACUGCAUUUGAAACUGGCAAGCUAGAGUCUCGUAGAGGGGGGUAGAAAUUCCAGGUGUAGCGGUGAAGUGCGUAGAGAUCUGGAGGAAUACCGGUGGCGAAGGCGGCCCCCUGGACGAAGACUGACGCUCAGGUGCGAAAGCGUGGGGGAGCAAAACAGGAUUAGAUACCCUGGUAGUCCACGCUGUAAAACGAUGUCGAUUUGGAGGUUGUGCCCUUGAGGCGUGGCUUCCGGAGCUAACGCGUUAAAU